GAUAAACGCUGGCGGCGUGCCUAACACAUGCAAGUCGAACGCCCUACGCAAGUAGGGAGUGGCGGACGGGUGAGGAACACGUGGGUUAUCUGCCUUGAGGUGAGGAAUACCGGCGAGAAAUCGCCGACAAUACCGCAUACGUUCGUAAGAACAAAGUCGCAAGACGCCCCAAGAUGAGCCUGCGUCCGAUUAGCUAGUUGGUGGGGUAAAAGGACCUACCAAGGCAGCGAUCGGUAGCUGGUC
Molecule: ribosomal RNA, 243 nt
Filed under: uncultured bacterium
Lineage: Bacteria
Description: partial 16S ribosomal RNA
Rfam family: Bacterial small subunit ribosomal RNA
Source: RNAcentral